AUUUACUCAUAUUUAUUUGGACAUACAUACAGAAUAAAACGGCCUAGCAACCGCCUAGCAACCAGGUUAAACUAUGAGGUUUAUUGGCAAAAGGCUCAUUAAAAAACAAAUACUCCUCCUUUAUCUCCAUCUCUCUCUCUCUCUCUGAAAAUAUCCAUGUCAACUGGCACACUAUUCCCUACAUAGUGCACAACUUUAGACCAGAGCCUUAUGGGAAAGUCCUAUGGGUCCUGGUCCAAAGUAGUGCACUACAUAAGGAAUAGGACUCUAGUUCACUAUGUAGUGCCCUGGUCCAAAGUAGUGCACUACAUAAGGAAUAGGACUCUAGUUCACUAUGUAGGGUCCUGGUCCAAAGUAGUGCACUACAUAAGGAAUAGGGCUCUAGUUCACUAUGUAGGGUCCUGGUCCAAAGUAGUGCACUACAUAAGGAAUAGGGCUCUAGUUCACUUUGUAGUGCCCUGGUCCAAAGUAGUGCACUACAUAAGAAAUAGGGCUCUAGUUCACUAUGUAGUGCCCUGGUCCAAAGUAGUGCACUACAUAAGGAAUAGGACUCUAGUUCACUAUGUAGGGUCCUGGUCCAAAGUAGUGCACUACAUAAGGAAUAGGGCUCUAGUUCGCUGUGUAGGGUCCUGGUCCAAUGUAGUGCACUACAUAAGGAAUAGGGCUCUAGUUCACUUUGUAGUGCCCUGGUCCAAUGUAGUGCACUACAUAAGGAAUAGGGCUCUAGUUCACUAUGUAGGGUCCUGGUCCAAAGUAGUGCACUACAUAAGGAAUAGGGCACUAGUUCACUAUGUAGGGUCCUGGUCCAAAGUAGUGCACUACAUAAGGAAUAGGGCACUAGUUCACUAUGUAGGGUCCUGGUCCAAAGUAGUGCACUACAUAAGGAAUAUAUUUGGACAUACAUAUAUCAGAAAUGGCCUAGCAACCGCCUAGCAACCAGGCUAAACUAUGAGGUUGAUAGGCAACCGAUGGACUCCAGUUCCCUGGUUACAAGCACUACAGGUAGGGAAUAUGGUGCCCACACUUUGGGAAGCAGGCAGUACAUCUGUAGUGAGUCCAACCCAGUCACAACAGAGAACACAGUCAAAACACAUAACAACAUUAAAACAGGGUCGGCCUGAAUUCCAACUGAAGGCAGGUCAAUUCAUGUCGC
RNAcentral lists this long non-coding RNA (1153 nucleotides) under Salmo salar (Atlantic salmon). RNAcentral's name for it is "lncRNA (ENSSSAG00000108290.1)". Lineage: Eukaryota; Metazoa; Chordata; Actinopteri; Salmoniformes; Salmonidae. The record is from RNAcentral.